RNAcentral lists this transfer RNA (74 nucleotides) under Penicillium chrysogenum. RNAcentral's name for it is "tRNA-Thr (TGT) (tRNA-Thr-TGT-3-1)". It matches the Rfam family "tRNA". Rfam says of the family: Transfer RNA (tRNA) molecules are approximately 80 nucleotides in length. Their secondary structure includes four short double-helical elements and three loops (D, anti-codon, and T loops). Further hydrogen bonds mediate the characteristic L-shaped molecular structure. tRNAs have two regions of fundamental functional importance: the anti-codon, which is responsible for specific mRNA codon recognition, and the 3' end, to which the tRNAs corresponding amino acid is attached (by aminoacyl-tRNA synthetases). tRNAs cope with the degeneracy of the genetic code in two manners: having more than one tRNA (with a specific anti-codon) for a particular amino acid; and 'wobble' base-pairing, i.e. permitting non-standard base-pairing at the 3rd anti-codon position. RNAcentral also lists the same sequence under 4 other names. The record is from RNAcentral. Lineage: Eukaryota; Fungi; Ascomycota; Eurotiomycetes; Eurotiales; Aspergillaceae.
GCCCCUGUGGCGCAAUUGGAUAGCGCAUGCGACUUGUUAUCGCAAGGCUGCGGGUUCGACCCCCGCCAGGGGUU